Molecule: unclassified non-coding RNA, 306 nt
Filed under: uncultured fungus
Lineage: Eukaryota; Fungi
Description: sequence contains ITS2
Source: RNAcentral
AACGCACCUUGCACCCUUUGGUAUGCCAAAGGGUACACCCGUUUGAGUGUCAUUGUAAUCUCACCACAAUUGACUUUUGUCUUUUGUAUGUGGACUUGGAUGUUGCCGUGAAAUUGAUCGAUGGCUCAUCUGAAAUGCUUGAGUAUACCCCACUUUGCGGCGUAUUCGGUGUGAUACAUCUUCACCGGAGUCUGAUCCUCACGGGUCGCGUCAGUCAGGGUGUGGCUCUGUGCUUCGAACCGUCCUGUAAGGGACAAUCUUUGACAAUUUGACCUCAAAUCGGGUGGGACCACCCGCUGAACUUAA